UGCAGUAAAUUUCGUAUUAGCAAGGUAUACGACACACGCAAUUUAUAAUAAAACAUCUAAAGUGACACAAACUGAUAAUCAACAGGAUGUUUCAAAUGAUAGUACAGACGAGGCGGAUACUUCUUCAUGAUGUUUAGCUGACCUGUUGUGUAAAUUAAUCUGUGAGAAUCAGAAACAAUUAGAAUAUCAUCUAGAUAUUGUUUUCCUAUACUGAUUUUGAUAUUUCGAGUCAUUAAAGGUAGUUUGUUAGCAACAAUAUAAAUUUUAGAUUUUGUAAAAGCAUUCAUAGUUUUACAUUAAAAAACCGGACAGAGUAAAAAUCGUUUUGAUUU
This 332-nucleotide small RNA is filed under the name Staphylococcus aureus. Its description in RNAcentral is "HMPRFS0000_2068". The record is from RNAcentral. Lineage: Bacteria; Bacillati; Bacillota; Bacilli; Caryophanales; Staphylococcaceae.